This is a long non-coding RNA of Eucalyptus grandis, 164 nucleotides long. RefSeq lists it as uncharacterized. Lineage: Eukaryota; Viridiplantae; Streptophyta; Magnoliopsida; Myrtales; Myrtaceae. The transcript has 3 exons. The record is from RefSeq and is a predicted model, not a curated record.
AGGAUUCUGAGGUGCUUGCCGAUGGAUUAAUUGGUCAGAGAAUAAAGGUCUGGUGGCCGUUGGAUGAAAUGUUCUAUGAUGGCCGAAUUCAAUCUUACAACCCUCUAACAAAAAAGCACAAGGUUUUGUACGAUGACGGGGACAAAGAAAUCUUAAACCUUGAG